CAUGUUGUAAGUUAAGAGAUGGUAGGUAAUUUUUUUUGAACUAGGUGUGGUACCUUUUGCAUCAUGAUUCGCUGAGGGGUUUUAAAGAUUUAUGGACUCGAAGGGUUACGAUUAUCAUUCAAUAUGUUCAGUACUUACGUCUAAGUGGGUAAUUUUUCGAAUAUUUGUUUGAAGUGUUGAGAAAUAAUUCGUGUAAUCUGAUAGCUAGUUGGAAAGGAGUGUUAUAUGUUGUGUUUUAUUGCGAAGCGGUGAUAGAAUAUGUAAGAAACUUUUAUGUAGGUGGUAAUAAAUCUAGGGUCAGAGUUACCUUUGAUUUGGUAGUAUGUUAUUAUAAGAUAUUUAGGGGUAUUGUGUUUUUGGUUGUAUGCUUUCCAUGGAAAUUGGUUGUUUAAUGUUAAUGGUGGAAUGAGUAGAAAUAGUAGUGUCUUCUUUUUUUCUCGGUGCUUGUUGGUCUGUUUUUCAAAAACAUUUCUAUUUGUGAUAUUUAAAUAGUAGGACCUGCCCUAUGUUUGUAUAAAUGGCCGCAGUAUAUUGACUGUGCAAAGGUAGCAUAAUUAAUUGUCUCGUAAUUGGGGAAUUGUUUGAAUGGUUUAACCAAAUGAGGGAGAAGAUGGAAGAGGUGUUUGAAAUUGGAUAUUUGGUGCAGAUUCCAAAGAUGUUUAGUAGGACGGAAAGACCCCGAGAGCUUUAUAUUAGAAUAUUUAUUUGGGGCAGAGGUAAAUUAUUUAUUUAUUUUAUGAUCCUGAAAGGGUAAAAGGUGUAAGUUACCUCGGGGAUAACUAGGUAAGAGAUAAGGAGAGAUCAGAUCGAUUUAUUUAUUUGCCAUCUCGAUGUUGAUUUAAAGUAAUAUAAGGGCGCAGAAGUUUUUAUAUUUGGUCUGUUCGACCAUGGUACUUUUCAUGAAUUGAGUUAAGACCGGUGUAAGCCAGGUCGGUUCUUAUCUGUUAUUCUUAUGGGUUAGUACGAAAGGAUUGCCUGUGAUUUAUGUU
Molecule: ribosomal RNA, 989 nt
Filed under: Explanatum explanatum
Lineage: Eukaryota; Metazoa; Platyhelminthes; Trematoda; Plagiorchiida; Paramphistomidae
Description: 16S ribosomal RNA
Rfam family: Bacterial large subunit ribosomal RNA (bases 661-947)
Source: RNAcentral